CCUACGGUAGGCAGCAGUGCGGAAUAUUGGUCCAUGGACGCAAGUCUGAACCAGCCAUGCCGCGUGCAGGAAUACGGCUCUAUGAGUUGUAAACUGCUUUUGUACGAGUGUCAAUCCGGAUACGUGUAUCCAGUUGAAAGUAUUGUACGAAUAAGGAUCGGCUAACUCCGUGCCAGCCUCCGCGUUAAUACGGAGGAUUCAAGCGUUAUCCGGAUUUAUUGGGUUUAAAGGGUGCGUAGGCGGGUCGAUAAGUUAGAGGUGAACUCUCGGGUCUUAACUCCGGCACUGCCUCUGAUACGGUCGGGAUAGAGGUUAGUUGCGGUAGGCGGAAUGUAUGGUGUAGCGGUGAAAUGCAGAGAGAUCAUAGAGAACACCGAUUGCGAAGGCAGCUUACCAAACUACGACUGACGUUGAGGCACGAAAGCGUGGGGAGCAAACAGGAUUAGAUACCACUGUAGUC
This 460-nucleotide ribosomal RNA is filed under the name uncultured bacterium. Its description in RNAcentral is "partial 16S ribosomal RNA". It matches the Rfam family "Bacterial small subunit ribosomal RNA", at positions 338 to 795 of the family's 1533-position model. The record is from RNAcentral.